AGUGAACGCUGGCGGUAGGCCUAACACAUGCCAGUCGAACGGCAGCACAGUAAGAGCUUGCUCUUACGGGUGGCGAGUGGCGGACGGGUGAGGAAUACAUCGGAAUCUACUUUUUCGUGGGGGAUAACGUAGGGAAACUUACGCUAAUACCGCAUACGACCUACGGGUGAAAGCAGGGGAUCUUCGGACCUUGCGCGAUCGAAUGAGCCGAUGUCGGAUUAGCUAGUUGGCGGGGUAAAGGCCCACCAUGGCGACGAUCCGUAGCUGGUCUGAGAGGAUGAUCAGCCAAAUUGGAACUGAUGCUCGGUCCAUACUCCUACGGGAGGCAGCAGUGGGGAAUAUUGGACAAUGGGCGCAAGCCUCAUCCAGCCAGACCGCGUGAGUGAAGAAGGCCUUCGGGUUGUAAAGCCCUUUUGUUGAGAAAGAAAAGCAGCAGGGUAAUACCCCGCUGUUCUGACGGUACCCAAAUAAUAAGCACCGGCUAACUUCGUG
RNAcentral lists this ribosomal RNA (492 nucleotides) under uncultured bacterium. RNAcentral's name for it is "partial 16S ribosomal RNA". It matches the Rfam family "Bacterial small subunit ribosomal RNA", at positions 29 to 507 of the family's 1533-position model. The record is from RNAcentral.